ACAGUGCGCUGGAGCGGUAARCACAAGAGAGCGUGCUCUCGGGUGACGAGCGGCGGACGGGUGGGUAAUGUCUGGGRAACUGCGUGAUGGAGGGGGAUAACUACGGGAAACGGUAGCUAAUACCGCAUAACGUCGSAAGACCAAAGUGGGGGACCUUCGGGCCUCAUGCCAUCAGAUGUGCCCAGAUGGGAUUAGCUAGUAGGUGGGGUAAUGGGUCACCUGKGCGACGAUCCCUAGCUGGUCUGAGAGRAUGACCAGCCACACUGGAACUGAGACASGGUCCAGACUCAUACGGGAGGCAGCAGUGGGGAAUAUUGCACAAUGGGCGCAAGCCUGAUGCAGCCAUGCCGCGUGUAUGAAGAAGGCCUUCGGGUUGUAAAGUACUUUCAGCGAGGAGGAAGGCGUUAAGGUUAAUAACCUUGGCGAUUGACGUUACUCGCAGAAGAAGCACCGGCUAACUCCGUGCCAGCAGCSGCGGUAAU
RNAcentral lists this ribosomal RNA (482 nucleotides) under uncultured Enterobacteriaceae bacterium. RNAcentral's name for it is "bacterial SSU rRNA". It matches the Rfam family "Bacterial small subunit ribosomal RNA", at positions 53 to 524 of the family's 1533-position model. Lineage: Bacteria; Pseudomonadati; Pseudomonadota; Gammaproteobacteria; Enterobacterales; Enterobacteriaceae. The record is from RNAcentral.